CUUUUCCUGUCCUUGCAUCUCAGCUCCACCCACUUAGGAUGUGUGGGAAGGAUGCAAGGAUGAGAUCUGAGGAGAGAGGAAUUGGAGCAAGUCAAAUGGAAUAUCUUCACUCUCUCGAGCAUCACUUCAAAGCGACGUCACUUAAUGAUGACUGGGCUCAGCUGAAUGACCUCACUGUGCUUCAGGGAUCUGCUGUUAUGUUGUUGGAGCUCGGCUAAAUGCACUGAUACUGAACCAAUGCACCCCUCUCGGACUCUGAUGCCUCAGCCCAGCUCCUUGGGUCAAAUGAACUCAGUGCGGACUGUUUGACUUCGCCUCAGGUGAAUGGUUUUUGAGAUGAGGAAACCAAACGACCACAGCUUUUCAAAUGGAUGGGAGCGGGACUCUUGUCUUCCCAGAUGGCAGGGAGA
This is a long non-coding RNA of Ictalurus punctatus (channel catfish), 410 nucleotides long. The record is from Ensembl. NCBI's taxonomy places the organism in Eukaryota, Metazoa, Chordata, Actinopteri, Siluriformes, Ictaluridae.